GGGGUUGUGGCUCAGUGGUAGAGUACUUAUCUAGCAUGCAUGAGGCACUGGGUUUGAGCCUCAGCACCACA
This 71-nucleotide transfer RNA is filed under the name Marmota monax (woodchuck). RNAcentral's name for it is "tRNA.Ala". Lineage: Eukaryota; Metazoa; Chordata; Mammalia; Rodentia; Sciuridae. The record is from RNAcentral.